CGAAUCUCUUUUAGAGAUGAGUGGCGAACGGGUGAGUAAUACAUAGGUAACCUGCCCCUGUGCGGGGGAUAACAGGAGGAAACUCCUGCUAAUACCGCAUAGCCAUGAGCACCGCAUGGAGCUCAUGCCAAAUAUCCUUUCGGGGAUAGCGCAGGGAUGGACCUAUGGCGCAUUGGCUGGUUGGCGGGGCAACGGCCCACCAAGGCAACGAUGCGUAGCCGGCCUGAGAGGGCGGACGGCCACAUUGGGACUGAGACACGGCCCAGACUCCUACGGGAGGCAGCAGUAGGGAAUUUUCGGCAAUGGGGGAAACCCUGACCGGGCAACGCCGCGUGAGCGAAGAAGGCCUUCGGGUCGUAAAGCUCUGUUGUAAAGGAAGAACGGCGCAUACAGGAAAUGGUAUGCGAGUGACGGUACUUUACCAGAAAGCCACGGCUAACUACGUGCCAGCAGCCGCGGUAAUACGUAGGUGGCGAGCGUUAUCCGGAAUCAUUGGGCGUAAAGAGGGAGCAGGCGGCCGCAAGGGUCUGUGGUGAAAGCCCGAAGCUAAACUUCGGUAAGCCAUGGAAACCGGGCGGCUAGAGUGCGGAAGAGGAUCGCGGAAUUCCAUGUGUAGCGGUGAAAUGCGUAGAUAUAUGGAGGAACACCAGUGGCGAAGGCGACGGUCUGGGCCGUAACUGACGCUCAUUCCCGAAAGCGUGGGGUGCAAAUAGGAUUAGAUACCCUAGUAGUCCACGCCGUAAACGAUGGUCACUAAGUGUCGGGGGUCAAACCCCU
This 777-nucleotide ribosomal RNA is filed under the name uncultured bacterium. RNAcentral's name for it is "bacterial SSU rRNA". It matches the Rfam family "Bacterial small subunit ribosomal RNA", at positions 67 to 841 of the family's 1533-position model. The record is from RNAcentral.